GUUUCCGUAGGUGAACCUGCGGAAGGAUCAUUGCACACACGAGUUGCAGCCAACCCGCGGCGAACGAACACAUUGUCCCCCUUCGGUGGGGCGCGUCGCCUCGCGGCGUCGCGGCCGGCCACCUCCCUUCGUCACGAGCGGGCUCGCUCGUUCGCGGCGUGGGGUUUCCACGAUGCGCCCACCUUGAUCGAAUGACUGACUCCCGAAUCCUCUUAAGAGGAGUGAGUUCCGCCCCCCUUGGCUUGCUGAGGGGGGGCCGGCACUGGCUACCUUGCGAGUUGGAACACACAAUCAAAACAACUCUCAGCAACGGAUAUCUUGGCUCUUGCAACGAUGAAGAACGCAGCGAAAUGCGAUACGUAGUGUGAAUUGCAGAAUUCCGCGAAUCAUCGAGUCUUUGAACGCAAGUUGCGCCCGAGGCUUGUCCAAGGGCAUUUCCGCUAGAGCGUCACCGCGCCCCCCACCGACCCACUCCCAAGGGUCGAGUGAAAGUGGCCAUCCCGGUGGUCUUGUCCUCCUUCGAGGAGGGGAAGGCCUUAAGGGUUGGCUGAAAUGGAAGGAAUCGGGCCGCCGUGGCGACACAGUCCGCGAUCGGGUGAUCCGAGCUCCUCCGGGAGCCCGGACUUUUCUAAGUGCGUGGCUGCGUCCCCCAGCCGGUUGUGGUUACCUCAUGCAGGUCGAGCGCGCCCCCGCGGCGCGCGUCACGCAUCAGACCUCUAAUCGGAAAAGACUACCCGCUGAG
RNAcentral lists this ribosomal RNA (742 nucleotides) under Rauiella fujisana. RNAcentral's name for it is "eukaryotic LSU rRNA". The stretch from base 299 to 451 matches the Rfam family "5.8S ribosomal RNA". The record is from RNAcentral. Lineage: Eukaryota; Viridiplantae; Streptophyta; Bryopsida; Hypnales; Thuidiaceae.